RNAcentral lists this ribosomal RNA (460 nucleotides) under Lactiplantibacillus fabifermentans. RNAcentral describes it as "bacterial SSU rRNA". It matches the Rfam family "Bacterial small subunit ribosomal RNA", at positions 550 to 1009 of the family's 1533-position model. The record is from RNAcentral. Lineage: Bacteria; Bacillati; Bacillota; Bacilli; Lactobacillales; Lactobacillaceae.
UUUAUUGGGCGUAAGCGAGCGCAGGCGGUUUUUUAAGUCUGAUGUGAAAGCCUUCGGCUCAACCGAAGAAGUGCAUCGGAAACUGGGAAACUUGAGUGCAGAAGAGGACAGUGGAACUCCAUGUGUAGCGGUGAAAUGCGUAGAUAUAUGGAAGAACACCAGUGGCGAAGGCGGCUGUCUGGUCUGUAACUGACGCUGAGGCUCGAAAGUAUGGGUAGCAAACAGGAUUAGAUACCCUGGUAGUCCAUACCGUAAACGAUGAAUGCUAAGUGUUGGAGGGUUUCCGCCCUUCAGUGCUGCAGCUAACGCAUUAAGCAUUCCGCCUGGGGAGUACGGCCGCAAGGCUGAAACUCAAAGGAAUUGACGGGGGCCCGCACAAGCGGUGGAGCAUGUGGUUUAAUUCGAAGCUACGCGAAGAACCUUACCAGGUCUUGACAUACUAUGCAAAUCUAAGAGAUUA